This 315-nucleotide ribosomal RNA is filed under the name uncultured eukaryote. RNAcentral describes it as "partial 18S ribosomal RNA". It matches the Rfam family "Eukaryotic small subunit ribosomal RNA", at positions 1470 to 1796 of the family's 1831-position model. The record is from RNAcentral.
CCCUUAGACGUUCUGGGCCGCACGCGCGCUACACUGACCAGUGCAACAAGCAUCCGUCCAUGGCCGACAGGCCCGGGCAAUCUUUGAACGCUGGUCGUGAUGGGGAUAGACUUUUGCAAUUUUUGGUCUUCAACGAGGAAUUCCUAGUAAACGCAAGUCAUCAACUUGCAUUGAUUACGUCCCUGCCCUUUGUACACACCGCCCGUCGCACCUACCGAUUGAAUGGUCCGGUGAAGCCUCCGGAUUGGCGCGCACCUCGGUGCCGCCGAGAAGUUGGCUAAACCUUACCAUUUAGAGGAAGGUGAAGUCGUAACA